GACAGAGGGGGCAAGCGUUGCUCGGAAUUACUGGGCGUAAAGGGCGCGUAGGCGGCCUGCUAAGUCACACGUGAAAUCCCUCGGCUCAACCGGGGAACUGCGUGUGAUACUGGCGGGCUUGAAUUCGGGAGAGGGAUGUGGAAUUCCCGGUGUAGCGGUGAAAUGCGCAGAUAUCGGGAGGAACACCAAUGGCGAAGGCAGCUCGCUGGGACGUUACUGACGCUGAGACGCGAAAGCGUGGGGAGCAAACAGG
This 253-nucleotide ribosomal RNA is filed under the name uncultured bacterium. Its description in RNAcentral is "partial 16S ribosomal RNA". It matches the Rfam family "Bacterial small subunit ribosomal RNA", at positions 524 to 776 of the family's 1533-position model. The record is from RNAcentral.